Phascolarctos cinereus (koala) is the source of this 2150-nucleotide long non-coding RNA. RefSeq lists it as uncharacterized. Lineage: Eukaryota; Metazoa; Chordata; Mammalia; Diprotodontia; Phascolarctidae. The record is from RefSeq and is a predicted model, not a curated record.
CAUCCAGAGCCAACCACUUACCAGGUUCUAUGAAUUCUCUCUGUUGAACAUCAAGUUGUCUCACCAUUUCCUAAUGUAUCUAGGAUAAGUCUGUUUUAAUAUUCAUCAUAGUCUCUAAAAUCUAACAGAGACUCUCCUAAUUCAGGCUCAUAUAUCAUACUUGGAAGAAUAUUACCCUGUCAAAUAAUGAGUAUCUCUGCUUCUAGGCUUGUUCUCCUCCCUCAAUUCCAUCCCAAACACUACUACAAGAUUGCAUGUAAGUUAAAGGCCAAUCUCCUUAGCAGUUUUUCAAUACACCCCCCACCUCCUUGUAAAUCAAUCUUUCCUUUUCAGUCUUAUCUUCACAAGUACUUCAUUAUAAGCUUCUUGUUUUAGACAGAUUGUUCCCCAAAAGUGAUUUGUGCUAUUUUGUCCCUACGUUUUUGUUCAUAAUUCCUUUUUUACGUUCUUUUCUAAUUAUCUAACCCUUAAAAUUUGGCUCAAAUCCCAUGUCUUUACUCUGCCUUCCCAUACAAUGCUAACCUGAAUUGACUUCCUUAUUCUUUAAACUGGUAUAGUAGUUAUUCAUAUAGGAACAAUUGUCAACAAACCAGGUACUCCCCUGUGACAGCAGCAUGGUACAACAGAAAGAACAUUGGCUAUGAGGUUAAAGGGCAAUAGUUUGAAUCCUAAGUGUCAAUGGACAUGUCACUCUCCCUUCUUAGAGCUCAGUUUCCUCAUCUAUAAAAUAAGGGGGUUGAUUAGAGGAUCCCUGGAGUCUCUUCCAACUCUAAACAUAUGGUUAUAUGAUCUUACAGUUAGAGUGGUGGAGAGGGACAGUUUUUGAAGCCCUGGGACCCACUACGUGAUAGUGGUGAGACUACUUUGGGGCUCCUUUUUUUUUUUAUUUAAGUGAGGUCCAACUUAAAUAGAAAUUGAUCUAUAGGUUGCAUUUGACUAAGAAAAGCACAAAUUAACAUGAUCUAUUUGGCACUGUAUCUUUAUUUUGUUAAACAUUUCCCAUUAUGUCUUAACAAAGUUCUAGAAGCAUGCAGGUGAGUGGGCCUGCGUGCAAUACACAAGUUUGACACCACAGAUAUGGAUACAUACCACCUCACAGAAGUGUGGGAGUAAAGUUAACAUCACCACAGUACAUUAUACUACACAUAAAGGCAACUUAUCACAUGAGAACAAGUCCUAGCUCUACUGCUUCAGAGUUGUGUCAACUUUGGUUGGUUGGCUCAAUUCAUAGCUCCAACAAUGCAGGAGAAUCUUAGUCUACCAGUCUGCUCCUAACUCCUUCAACAACUUUCUGCUGUUUUUGUCAAUUUGAUGGCUAGCUGUCAAAAUAUUGGUGAAGAUAUCUGCUGGAAAAAUGGGUACCUCUGCCAUCACUACAGUAGAAGAUGUAAAAAGGCAAGAGGAGAAAGAGGAAAAAGAAGAAUCUAUUUUAGCCAUGUUAGGAAUCAUUGGGACAGUGCUUAACCUCUUUGUUAUUGUUUUUGUGUACAUAUACACUACACUUUAAUGGUAUUUUCUAGCGAUAGUUAUAUAUUUGGGGGAAAAAUAGCACUGAAAAUAAUGUUUCUAAUACUUCAUUUAAAAAGCAGUGUCUCUGAAAGCUGUAAGGCACAUUCCAGGGUUAAGUGUCUCACUCAAGGCACAUUACUGAUUGUGAAAUGCAUCUGGAAAUCCAGUGAAUGGUAUCUAAGUAUGGCAAGAUGGACAGAUAAGAUUCAGUUUACAAAGAUAAAAGACUGGGGAGGCUGAAGCAGCACAAAUAUGAAUAAUUAUGUCCUUUUCUGCUACAAAGUAUGCAAGAAACUGCUCAUGUAAACAAGAUAAUAGAUGGCAAUGCCACAGACACCUUGAUCAGGGUACAUUAUUUAAUACACACACAUACACACACACAUAAAAUUUACAAUCAGACUUGUGUUAAAAUCUUUUUUUCUUUGAGAUCCUGAAUACACACCUUAUAUGUAUGAUUGAAAAGGUGAUAAUUUAGAUAGUAUGGAAAGAACAUUACUAAUCAAAUGUACUGUAAAAUUACCAAUACAAUUUUAACCAUGGCUUGUACUGUCUAGCAUUAUUUUUAACCUUUCUACAUACUGAUCAAUAUUUUCAGAUGAUGAAAUUGCCUUUGGCUCUAGAUAAAAAUCAAAGGUGUUGCA